AAGGUAGCACAAUCACUUGUCCUUUAAAUAAGGACUAGUACGAACGGCACCACGAAAACUACACUGUCUCCUUUUUAUAAUCAGUGAAACUGAUCUUCCCGUGAAGAAGCGGGAAUUAUUCUAUAAGACGAGAAGACCCCAUGAAGCUUCAAAUAAGUAUCAACUCUUAACUUUACACCACCAGAUACAUAAUAGUCAUGAUUACUAAUUUUUGGUUGGGGCGACCAUGGAGUAAAACAAAACCUCCACAAUGAAAAGGCCUAACCCCAUUAUUCAAGAACAACAGUUCUAACAAUCAAUACAUUGACAUAAUUGACCCAAACCCCUUGAUCAAUGAACCAAGUUACUCUGGGGAUAACAGCGCUAUCUAUUUCAAGAGUUCAUAUCGACAAAUGGGUUUACGACCUCGAUGUUGGAUCGGGGUAUCCCAGUGGUGCAGCCGCUACUAAAGGUUCGUUUGUUCAACGAUUAAAACCCCACGUGAUCUGAGUU
This 492-nucleotide ribosomal RNA is filed under the name Arthroleptis wahlbergii (Wahlberg's forest frog). Its description in RNAcentral is "partial 16S ribosomal RNA". It matches the Rfam family "Bacterial large subunit ribosomal RNA", at positions 1953 to 2611 of the family's 2925-position model. The record is from RNAcentral. Lineage: Eukaryota; Metazoa; Chordata; Amphibia; Anura; Arthroleptidae.